CCUACGGGCGGCAGCAGUGGGGAAUAUUGGGCAAUGGGCGCAAGCCUGACCCAGCAACGCCGCGUGAAGGAAGAAGUCUUUCGGGUCGUAAACCUCUUUUAAGAGGGAAGAGAAGAAGACGGUACCUCUUGAAUAAGCCACGGCUAACUACGUGCCAGCAGCCGCGGUAAUACGUAGGUGGCAAGCGUUGCCCGGAUUUACGGGGUGUAAAGGGCGUGCAGCCGGGAAGACAAGUCAGAUGUGAAAUCCCGGGGCUCAACCGCGGAACUGCUUGUGAAACUGUUUUUCUUGAGUACCGGAGAGGUCAUCGGAAUUCCUUGUGUAGCGGUGAAAUGCGUAGAUAUAAGGAAGAACACCAGUGGCGAAGGCGGAUGACUGGACGGCAACUGACGGUGAGGCGCGAAAGCGUGGGGAGCAAACAGGAUUAGAUACCCCAGUAGUC
RNAcentral lists this ribosomal RNA (442 nucleotides) under uncultured bacterium. RNAcentral describes it as "partial 16S ribosomal RNA". It matches the Rfam family "Bacterial small subunit ribosomal RNA", at positions 338 to 795 of the family's 1533-position model. The record is from RNAcentral.